UUGGUGGAUUGAGAAAUAAAUCUAAGAAAUAAAUUCAUAAUGAUGUUGUUAAGUGUAAAAUACCUAUGAAAAAAGAUCUAAAGACUGUGAUGCCAAAAGUUACUUUAAGUCAAAUAAUAGUUUUCAUCCAUAGCAACAUUUAGCCUCAUAAUUGCAUGUUAGGUAACUUUCGGACUCGUGCGCUUCGUAUAUGUGAAAACAGGUAAUUAACCCAUCAUUCCGGGCACAAUUUUGUUUUUGGAACGAAGUACUAGAUUAAUAAAUUUAAAAUUGGAAACCCGAAAUUUCAACACAAGCCGGUGAAAUUCAUGAGGUGUAUUAUUUCACGAUAUGGAUUCGUAAAAUUUAAGGCACAAUCUCAACAUUCAAAUUGUAAUUGAUAGACUCCGGCUUUAUCUAGUUAAGUAAUUUUAUCUUUGUUGUUCAGUAACUGAUUUCUGGUUGAAUUAAUUUUUAUAAAUGAAAUAUUAACAUUUUUAUUCACUCUAUUUAGUAUGUUUUUAAUUUUGUAAGAUAAUGUUUCAAUAAAAUCCAGAAAAUAAUAUCUACCUAUGUCUUCCUUAGUAUCAUGGUCCGUUUUGAACAACGAGCAACAUUGUUUUUUUUUUAAUUUUGUAUCUUAUUUUGUCAAUUAGAUUGUGGAUUAAUUUUACUUUAAAGUCAUUAUUUAUUGCAAUUUGUUUUAUGGACUGAAGUUCUUUAUUAUAGUUUUCAUGGUUUAGAUUAGAAUUGAACAAUAUUUCAAUUAAAGAUGCAAAAGUUGAUAUUUUAUGAAUCCAUAGGUGGUUGGAAGAAUUGCAAAUAAUGUUGUCUGUGUAUGUUUUAUUGGCCCAAUAUCUUACAAAAUUAAAAACAUUCUUGGAGAAAUAUUAAACACGAGAGGCCAAAAGUUGCUAUAAACGAAGUCAUUCUUUUCAUCUUUAGUACACUUUGACCCCAUAUGGAUUCAUACAAAACAACUUUCAGGCUCACAGUCCAAGGGGACAUUAAAUUAGUAACCCUUGUUUUAAGAAUACCAAAUCGUCUUUCAAAUAUCGGCGGAUUGAGAAAUUAAUAAAUCAAAGGGACAGAUUUAUAAUUAUGUUGUUUACUGUGGAGUAUCUACGAAAAAAAUCCAAAGACUGUGAUUCCAAAAGUUAAUUUAAAUCAAAUAAUAGUUUUUAUCCAUAGCAACAUUUGGGUUCAUAAUUACUGCUCCAUUAAAAUAUUAAACUGGUUUUUCAAAUUUCGCUUGUUUCUUGGAUAAAAUAAUAUAAAAUACGAGAGGCCAAAAAUUGCUACAAAUGUAAUUAAUGAUUAUAAAAGAGUAUAAGUAAUUAUUUUCAUCUUUAGUACACUUUUGUCACACAAAUUCAUACAAAACAACUUUCAGGUUCACAACUCAAGCUAAAGUUAAAUUAAUUGUCGUUGUUUUAAGAUUAUCAAAUUGUGAUUCAAAUACCGGAAGAAAGAAAAACAAAUCUAAGAAACAAUUUCAUGGUGAUACUAUUAACUGUAAAGUACCCAUGAAAAAAAUCUAAAGAAUGCGAUAUCAAAAGUUACUUUAUAUCAAAUAAUACAUUUCAUGCAUAGUAACAUUUGAUCUUAUAAUUACAUGUUUCGGAAUAAUGAGCUUCAUAUCUAUCAUUUCAAGUACAAUUUUUGUUUUUGGAAAUGAAAUUCCAAGUGAUUAGAAAAUAAAACAGAAGCUCAAAAAUGUAUGGAAACGAUGCAUGACGUUCCAAGAUAUUAAUUCCUAAAAUUUAAAGCACACCCUUAAGCAAAUAUCCAGAUUGGCUCCAUAAGUAGAAAAAUAAUUUAAGAGAUUAACAAAAACUUGUACUGCUAAUUGUAGAAGUGCCUGUACACACAACCAUAAAAGUAAAUUUCUUACUCCAACUUAAACUGGUAUUUUAAAAUUGACAUGUACGCCUUUCUUGGAGAAAUAUAAAAAGAGAGGUUAAAAGCUGCUAAAAAAUAGUAAUGUUUCUUUUUUCGAAAUCGCGCAGUAAUGUGCUUUUUCUAUGUUCAAAAAUCGGCACAGAAAUUAAAUGCGGUGUUGUCAUAUUAGUAUUAUCUACCUCCACAAUUACAUUUUACAAGGUUAUAAAUUGUUUUUCGGUUUAGCAGUAAUUCUAUACUCUUUGAUAACCCUUUUUAUUAGUUAUUAGAAACACAUCCGGUUUAUUAAUUUUAUAAAUAUAAUUUAUUAACUAAAUUUGCGCGUAAUCUCGCAACGUCGCAACCUUGCAUGGCAACAGCGGAUUUCUUGAAGUGCAGCGACAUUCUAUGGCAGCGAACAAUGUGUAUCCACAUAACCUGUAAUAAGUUUUUGUUCGGUGCAGAAACAACCAUGGAAAACAUUAUAUGGAGAAUAUCUCAUUUUGCAUACGAGUAUUUCGCUGAAAAAGAAAAUUCUGUGAAAUCAACAUUUUGGGCUACAUAGUCGUUGUUAAAGUCAACUCUGUUAAUAUAAAACAGCAUAGAUAUAAUCUAAGUACACCAAGUUCUCAAGCAAAAAAUAUAGGUUAUGUUUCCCAGAAAUCAAAUAUAUUUACAAGAGAAAACUUACGAAAAUUUUUAACAGAGUCCCGUGAUUAAUGUACCUAAUGUCAAAGGUAUAUUUUUUAUUCGAAGUUGUAGGAGUAUGCGGAAAGGAAGAAUUUGAACAAUUUUCUUGUAUCUACAUAACCUAUAAUAAGCUUUUAUUAUUAUUACAGAACAGAUUAUUAGCUUACAUGCCCAUUUUAAAUGAAAGUAUGAAGCAUACCUCUUAUUUUUCGGCACUUUUAAUAUUUUUGCUUGCAGAAAGAUCUGCAGCAAUUGCAAAAUAGAGAUGGAUAGCAAUAAUAACAAGCAGUUUACAUGCAUUCGACCGAACUUGCAAAAACUGGCAGAUAAUAUAUCAAAUUUAUUACCUAAAAACUCAGCCACAGUUUAUGAAAAGCGGUAUGAAUUUUUUUUUUUUUUGCGCAGAAACAACCAUGCAAAAUAUAUGGAGAACACCUCAUUGCAUACGAGUAUUUCGCUGAAAAAGCAAAUUCUGUGAAAUCUUUAACACUUUGGGCUGCAUAGUCGUAGUUAAAGUCAACUCUGUUAAUAAAAAACAGCAUAGAUAUAUCUAAGUACACCAAGUUUUCAAGCAAAAAAUAUAGGUUACAUUGCCAAGAAAUCAAAUAUAUUUACAAGAGAAGACUUACCAAAAUUUUUAACAGAAGCCCGUGAUUAAAUGUACACGAUGUUAAAGGUUUAUUUUUUAUUAGAAGUUGUAGGAGCAUGUGGAAUGGAUAAAUUGAAAAAUAAUGACGGCAUUCAAGACAAAAACGAUACGCUAAUAAUUAAAAUUCCAACGUCUAAAACUGGCAAAGCACGAGAAUUUACAAAUAUGUGUAAAAAUAUUUAUCCAAUUGAAAUAUAGUAAAAAUACCUAAUUUUAAGACCGCACCAUACACCAGACAAAUCAUUAUUUAUACAUUACAUUUGGAUAGUGAAUGCAGCAGCUGCUGCAUUGUACAAAUAUACCUGCAAACACACUGUAACAAAUUAUGCAGACACCUCUUUUGACUAAAAGAUAUAUAUUUAACUUUAUCCAUACGUUGUCAACUUUGUUAAUAAUUGCAAUCUCUAACUUCAAAAGAAAUAUGAAUAAUCUACUUUGGUGUUUUAUAGUAGUAUUAAAUGUUCAUAGAAUAUAAUUGCACUUACUACGAAGUAAGCUUUCCUAGUUUUAAGUUGUUUUCUUUUCUCUUUGAUUAUCUUAAUUUCUUCAGCCUCUAUGUGGCUGUUUUAAUUCCAAAAAAUUGUUUCUGAAUAAACUGAUUCAUACCA
Long non-coding RNA from Zophobas morio, 3807 nucleotides. RefSeq lists it as uncharacterized. The record is from RefSeq and is a predicted model, not a curated record. NCBI's taxonomy places the organism in Eukaryota, Metazoa, Arthropoda, Insecta, Coleoptera, Tenebrionidae. The transcript is spliced from 3 exons.